UGAUCCAUGACUGGGGUGAAGUCGUAACAAGGUAACCGUAGGGGAACCUGCGGUUGGAUCACCUCCUUA
RNAcentral lists this ribosomal RNA (69 nucleotides) under Providencia stuartii. RNAcentral describes it as "partial 16S ribosomal RNA". It matches the Rfam family "Bacterial small subunit ribosomal RNA", at positions 1465 to 1533 of the family's 1533-position model. The record is from RNAcentral. Lineage: Bacteria; Pseudomonadati; Pseudomonadota; Gammaproteobacteria; Enterobacterales; Morganellaceae.